RNAcentral lists this ribosomal RNA (441 nucleotides) under uncultured bacterium. RNAcentral describes it as "partial 16S ribosomal RNA". It matches the Rfam family "Bacterial small subunit ribosomal RNA", at positions 338 to 795 of the family's 1533-position model. The record is from RNAcentral.
CCUACGGGAGGCAGCAGUGGGGAAUAUUGCACAAUGGGGGAAACCCUGAAGCAGCAACGCCGCGUGAAGGAAGACGCCCUUCGGGUUGUAAACUUCUGUCCUUAGGGAAGAAUAAUGACGGUAGCUAAAGAGCAAGCCACGGCUAACUACGUGCCAGCAGCCGCGGUAAUACGGAGGUGGCAAGCUUUUUCCGGAAUUACUGGGUGUAAGGGGUUCGGAGGUGGGAAGUCAAGUCGGGGGUGAAAGCGACGGGCUCAACUUGUUGAGUGCAUUUGAUACUGGUUUGCUGGAGUGAAGUAGAGGUUGGGGGAAUUCCGGGUGUAGCGGUGAAAUGCGUAGAUAUUAGGAGGAACACCGGUGGCGAAGGCGACCCACUGGGCCGUAACUGACGCUGAGGCUCGAAAGCGUGGGGAGCAAACAGGAUUAGAUACCCGGGUAGUC